RNAcentral lists this ribosomal RNA (726 nucleotides) under uncultured bacterium. RNAcentral describes it as "bacterial SSU rRNA". It matches the Rfam family "Bacterial small subunit ribosomal RNA", at positions 8 to 748 of the family's 1533-position model. The record is from RNAcentral.
AGAGUUUGAUCAUGGCUCAGGACGAACGCUGGCGGCGUGCUUAACACAUGCAAGUCGAACGAUGAUGCCCAGCUUGCUGGGUGGAUUAGUGGCGAACGGGUGAGUAACACGUGAGUAACCUGCCCUUGACUUCGGGAUAACUCCGGGAAACCGGGGCUAAUACCGGAUAUGAGCCGUCCCCGCAUGGGGGUGGUUGGAAAGUUUUUCGGUCAGGGAUGGGCUCGCGGCCUAUCAGCUUGUUGGUGGGGUGAUGGCCUACCAAGGCGACGACGGGUAGCCGGCCUGAGAGGGCGACCGGCCACACUGGGACUGAGACACGGCCCAGACUCCUACGGGAGGCAGCAGUGGGGAAUAUUGCACAAUGGGCGAAAGCCUGAUGCAGCGACGCCGCGUGAGGGAUGAAGGCCUUCGGGUUGUAAACCUCUUUCAGCAGGGAAGAAGCGCAAGUGACGGUACCUGCAGAAGAAGCGCCGGCUAACUACGUGCCUGCAGCCGCGGUAAUACGUAGGGCGCAAGCGUUGUCCGGAAUUAUUGGGCGUAAAGAGCUCGUAGGCGGUUUGUCGCGUCUGGUGUGAAAACUCGAGGCUCAACCUCGAGCUUGCAUCGGGUACGGGCAGACUAGAGUGCGGUAGGGGAGACUGGAAUUCCUGGUGUAGCGGUGGAAUGCGCAGAUAUCAGGAGGAACACCGAUGGCGGAGGCAGGUCUCUGGGCCGCAACUGACGCUG